This 243-nucleotide ribosomal RNA is filed under the name uncultured Actinomycetales bacterium. RNAcentral's name for it is "partial 16S ribosomal RNA". It matches the Rfam family "Bacterial small subunit ribosomal RNA", at positions 88 to 334 of the family's 1533-position model. The record is from RNAcentral. Lineage: Bacteria; Bacillati; Actinomycetota; Actinomycetes; Actinomycetales.
UACUCGAGUGGCGAACGGGUGAGUAACACGUGGGUGAUCUGCCCUGCACUUCGGGAUAAGCCUGGGAAACUGGGUCUAAUACCGGAUAGGAGCCAUUUUUAGUGUGAUGGUUGGAAAGUUUUUUCGGUGUAGGAUGAGCUCGCGGCCUAUCAGCUUGUUGGUGGGGUAAUGGCCUACCAAGGCGGCGACGGGUAGCCGGCCUGAGAGGGUGGACGGCCACAUUUGGACUGAGAUACGGCCCAG